AUUCCAGUCGAUGCUGCUGGAGGGCACUGCUAUCAGAUUUCGACAGCCAUGCAAGUUCGCUCAGCGGCUUCGCUGGGCAGCGUACGGCUCAGUAACACGUAGUCAAUCUACCGUAAAGAGGCGAAUACCCAUGGGAAACUGUGGCUAAUGCGCCAUAGGCCAGGGAUUCUGGAAGGAGCCCUGACUUAAAGGAGCGCGAAUUGCAGCGCUUCCGCUUUACGAUGAGACUGCGGCGGAUCAGGCAGAUGGCGGGGUAACGGCCCACCAUACCUAUAACCCGUAGGGGAUGUGGGAGCAUAAGCCCCGAGAAGGGCACUGAGACAAGGGCCCUAGCACUACGGUGUGCAGCAGGCGCGCAAACUCCACAAUGCGCGUAAGCGUGAUGGGGGGAAUCUGAGUGGUUCACUUUGUGAACCUUUUGCCAAGUAUAGCAAGCUUGGCGAAUAAGUGCUGGGCAAGACCGGUGGCAGCCGCCACGGUAAUACCGGCAGCACAAGUGGUGUCCACGAUUAUUGGGCUUAAAGCGCUCGUAGCCGGCUGAUGCCGUCUCGCGUGAAAUAUUGGCGCUCAACGUCAAUGCGUGCGCGAGAUACCCAUCGGCUAGGGAGCGGGUGAGGUCAGGAGUACUUAUGGGGGAGGGGUUAAAUCCUGUAAUCCUAUAAGGACUAACGGUGGCGAAGGCGCCUGACUAGAACGCAUCCGACGGUGAGGAGCGAAGGCUAGGAGAACGAAUCGGAUCAGAUACCCGAGUAGCCCUAGCAGUAAAUUAUGCAGACUCUGGUGUUGCAAGUAUCACGAAUGCUUGCAGUACCGUAGCGUAAGUGUUAAGUCUGCCGCCUGGGGAGUACGGCCGCAAGGUUGAAACUUAAAGCAAUUGGCGGGGGAGCACACAAGGGGUGGAUGCUGCGGUUUAAUUGAAUCCAACGUCGGAAAUAUUACCAGAAGCGACGGCAGUGUGAAGGUCAGACUGAAGAUCUUACCUGACAAGCCGAGAGGUAGUGCAUGGCGACCGUCAGCUCGUGGUGUGAACUGUCCGGUUAAGUCCGGUAAGUCUAUGAGUGAUACAAUGACACAAAAGCUAAGACUAACGCCUGAUACAAGCUACAUGCUUGGAAUAUACAGGUGCAACAGGGGAAAGCGGAUUGAACUGUCCUCAAGCGACGAUGAUAUGAUUGCAAGGUUUGCCAAGCUCGCAAUGGACGAGUUCGGCAUUGAGCCUAACAAGAUAAUCAUCGACAGCGAGGGCAAGGUCAAGAAAACUUUCUUCUACAACUCCACGAUGGUGAAAAGGUUUGAAAAGGCGCUUGAAAGAAGAGUAAACAUAUUCAAGUACGCCAAUGCAUAUUCCGGAAAUUACUUCGCGGCGCUGUUCGACUGCAACGGAGGCAAGGAUGCUAAAGGCAUCUUUCUGAAGGGCAUGGACAGCGUUGACGAGGUAGUACUCGAAAGGCUCAACAUACACACGGACAAAAGGGGCAGCAAGGAUUACCUUGCAAACCAGUCCGCAUUCAUAACGCUAAUAAAAGAUUACAGCCUUAGAAUUGCGAGUAUUAUUCAUUGACCCGGAAACGAGCGAGACCCUCGCUUACAGUUGCUACCUGCUUAGAGAUAAGCAGGGCACUCUGUUAGGACCGCCUUCGUUUAAGGAGGAGGAAGGAGAGGGCGACGAUACGUCAGUAUGCUCUGAAUCUUCUGGGCUACACGCGGCAUACAAAGGUCGGCACAAUGAGAUGCAACACCGAAAGGUGAAGCUAAUCCCCUAAAACCGGCCCAAGUUCGGAUUGAGGGCUGAAACUCGCCCUCAUGAAGCUGGAAUCCCUAGUAAUCGCUUGUCACUAUCGAGCGGUGAAUACGUCCCUGCUCCUUGCACACACCGCCUACCAAGCCACCCAAGUGAGGUCUUAGUGAGGCAGCGCCACUGGCGUUUUCGAACUAAGGUUUCGCGAGGUGGGCUAAGGUAUAACAAGGUAUCCGUAGGGGAACCUGCGGAUAGAUCACCUCAA
This is a non-coding RNA of Candidatus Micrarchaeum sp. AZ1, 2003 nucleotides long. NCBI's taxonomy places the organism in Archaea, Nanobdellati, Microcaldota, Candidatus Micrarchaeia, Candidatus Micrarchaeales, Candidatus Micrarchaeaceae. The record is from Rfam.